Molecule: long non-coding RNA, 5196 nt
Organism: Amphiprion ocellaris (clown anemonefish)
Lineage: Eukaryota; Metazoa; Chordata; Actinopteri; Pomacentridae
Exons: 4
Source: RefSeq, a predicted model, not a curated record
CUAGGAAGCAGGGGUUUGGAAUGAUCUGGUUCUCAUCCUCAAGCAAAGCGUCCUUGUCGCUCCACUGGAUCUGGUGGUGUCGAGUUCGCCUGCGGUUCCCGAAGCACAGCAACAUGUUCUACCUCCACCCUGCCAGCCAGUAUAUUACUAUGAUGUGUCACAUGAAGAAAUUCAAGGUGCAGAAGGCCGUGGGUGAGGUUUGCAGACUUGGCUGGAGAGAAUGGAAUAACUGAACACAGAAAAGGUGCAUUCUUGCAUCUCGCCACCAUCCUGCAGUUGUUCAAAUAAAUGAAACUGUCAGUCACAGCAUCAGUCGACCACACACGGAUGUCAUCUAUCUACAACAGAGUCAGGUUUUUCUUUCCGUGCUGUUCCAAAAAGAGGGCCAAGAAUAGCGACACAUUUGGGCACAAGCUCCCAUGUAAUUUCCCACGCCUUUUGUCUCCGUUCCUGUGCCGCCCAUGCAUGCUGAGACAAUAAGCUGGGAGCUUCGUUAUGAAGCUGACAACACCGUUUUUACAAAGAAGUCAGCAGGAAUACCAUCAUUCCUACAACUGCCCCCCCCCCCCAUCAACGCUAAUAACACGCAACCAAAAGGAGCAGCUGCUGACACAUCUAACACGAAUAUUUAUUUGUUUCUAUCAAGCUGACGGAGUUCAGAAUAGCAGGUUUCACAAAAUGAAAACUCUGUGUGAGAAGAUUCACGGUUCCUGUGGUGCUGUUGGCUUACUAGAAAUAGUUACGCAAUCAGUUUUCAACAAAUAAUGGCUCCAGGACAGCGAUGCUCCGUCGAUUCUGUAUUCAAUGCAGGGUUAAUUGUUCUUCUGCUCAUUUAACUGGCAUAUCUGUGACUGAUGCAAACCUCAAAUGUUCAGCCCAUGAAAAAUCUCAGUUCCAGUUCAAGUGAAAUGGGGCACAGUGUGGUAACAUGGUUCCUAUCAUACAUCACAGACAGAGAUAAGCUAAACAUACUAAAUACUCUAUGUUUGCCCAAAUACAUUCAUCUAUAAUACCUCCAAACUGACAGCACCUAACUGACAGAUAAAGAUUCCCCACCCUGCAGCUUCCACAGGUCUGUAAUCUCUCCAGAAGUGGGACCUUAGCGUGAAAUUGAAUAACCUGAAAAUCACUUAUAGCAAAUGUUGUGAAUCUCUAUCAGAAAUGACAGGCCAUCAGUAUUCUGGAUGAGAACAUGUCCUCUGUCAGACAUCCAGACACAGAGGCUUACUUCCAGCUCAGUCGUCGUCUACAGAGGCUGCAUGACUGAGAUGCCGAGGCUGGAGAGGCCAGCCUCAAACAUCUGUAUCCCAAUUGGUAAAGUUUCAUGACAGCUCUAUUUGUCAAAGUCAAUCUUGGAGCUGCUACAUUACAGCCUCCUUGUGGCAUUUUAAGGCACCCUUAACAUAAUGAUAUAUCAUCCUGUCCCCGCCAGGAACAUCGGAGGAGGAAACAUUUCAUAAUGUUCUUUGCUUCAUUCAGUCUGGUAGAAUGUGGACAUGAGCACCGGGUCAAGAUGAACCACAAAACCAGAUUCAUUAAACUGGAUGUGGGGACAUCGAGUAAUGGGGCCUAACUAGUAUUUGCUGCAAUACAACUUUCCAGAGACAUGCGUUACUGGGGGGCUUUGUUAUGAUGAGUAACAUGUCGAAAAAUAGACUAAAUGGAAGUUAUAAAAGCAGUAGCAUACUAAUAAGCAGCGUGGUAACAGGCAUGAACUCAUCAAGGUUAUUUUUAGUCAACAAUAAAUGACCAACGUGUAAUGGCAUUUACUGAUGAGACUGCAGAUUGCUACCAGUACAUGCUGUUUUUCAAGCGUACAGGAAAACCUAUGAUGGUAGCGACUUCAGGACUAAAAACAUGAAAAAAAAUCUCCUCCACAGUCAGUGCUUAGUUUGUCCAUCCUGGGCUCCUGUAGCGAUAUGAUGGGCUCAUUUUAACCUGCAAUAGUGAAGACAUAAAACCGAACACUAUAUCUGCUAAUAGACUCCCUCAAAUCCUACACACUGAUCCUUUAAAGUUAAAUGUGAGGGGAUCAGAAGUGCUGAUCAGACGAUCUAAUUCUCUGCAGGGCACCACAGAGUGCUGAAUACACAGUUUCUGAGCCUGAUAUUUUACUGCAGAGUCUUUGUCAGGUUUUGACACUGGCUAGGUGGAACAAAAUCAUGUAAAAACGUUAGAAAGAAGUCCUGGCUAUCAAAUCCUCCCUCCAAAAGAAAGACGUAUUCGAAUCACGCCAAAUCAGCAAAACAAAAUCUACACAAUGAAUGGAGCUGUUUUGUUAGUUUGAUCAAACAUGAGGGGUUAAAAGCUUGUGACAUAUCAUGUGAAGAGACAAGUAUUGUGUUUCCAAUCUGGAGGGAAUAUAUAAAACCUAUUUGGAAUUUAUAUUAGCUGAUAUCCAUCCAAACUCCCUUUUUUCCACAGAUUUACCACGAAAGAUCAAGACAGCUCCUUCAGACUUGCAUCCAAACCACAGAUUGAAUUCUUUCAAAUGCUGACAAGCCGUCUCUAUAAGACAAGGAGAACUCUCCCUUCUGGAAGUGUCAGAAUCCAGUCAGUUAAAUGGAGGCACAUAUCUGCUGUACCGAAUAAAGUGAUUUAAUAACUUCUGCAGCUCUGCAGUGGAGGUUGUCCAAGCAGGCAGCUCUCAUGCAAGUACAGUUAAGACCUUGGAGUAAUCAUCCAUGGGAAUGAUGCAGACAUCAGCUCUCCACUUUUUGUGACAGAUAUGUCAAAUUCCAAUGCCUCACACAGUCAGAAUGUGGCUGACGCUAGACUUAGUCUGCACUAAUUUCAAUAACUGAACAUAUUAGCAUCUUUCCACCUGAAGCGAAUUAUUGGAAAUGAGGAAAAUUGCAACUAAAUUGCAAUAAAUGGCCAUUGAGUGAGUGAAAAAUGCUGUGCUUGAGAUGGUUAUGUGUCCUGAUUUAUCUAUUUCAUUUACCAGAGGCCUCUUGAACGCAUUUAAUGGAAAAGAUCCUGCAUGCAGAGCAUGUACAGUAUGCAUUAUUAUUCAACAUUAGAGCCUCAUAGAAAUUUGGAGUGUCAUAACCUUUUACACCUCCGAUCCAUUCUAACUUUUCAGCAAUUGAUUUUUCCCCUGCCACCAAGGUUUAAUGUGUUUGAACAUAAUACAUGCACACUCCACACGCAGCCCAUAUCUUCCCUUGUGUGCUCCUAAUGGAAAUAAGCAACCUAAUGAGCUGAGACUUUAGGUUUAGGCUACUGGAAAACAAUCCUCAGCAGCAGAAAUGACACAAAAAUGUGAUCUUCUUCUGGUUCUCCUCCUCCUCCUCCUCCUCCUCCUCCUCUCUCCUUCUGCGUCUCUUCAUCCUUAACUCAAUUCUAUCCACCCACAGUCCUCCACCCUCCCCGUGGUUGCUGAGCACUGCAUCAGCAGCAUCCCCAGGAGAAGGGAGACCUGUUCUUUAACUAGACCAUUACGAAUACCUGCCACUUCUAAACCACCAAGAUACAUCAGCUUCGUCCGCACCCACACCUUCUGGGAAGACUCAGCCCUUUAAUCUGAUUCUCCGUUAUGUAAUCCUGCGUGAUAGAUAACUGCAGACGCUCCAAGAUUAAUGAAAUUCAGGGGAAGCCCCCCCCACACGGCCUGAUCUACAGUACUAGGAGAAGAUGACGGCUCUGCUAUUUUUGCUCAGGCAUCUCCGUAGGUACUAUAGCUUCUGAGGUCACACGGCUGCCCACCCCUAAGAGAAGCGCACUGCUGCAGUGCACUAUUUCUGGGCUCCUGGCAGGAAGAGACAGGUGUGAAGGCUUGUGGAAACCUGCUGAAAGGUGCUAUAGCACUCCACAGUUUCAGGGCUGAUGACGGAAAGAUACCGCAUGGUGCAAAAAAUAACUGGGAUCCCAAACCUCCCUCUCUCCCUGUUUUACCUCUAGUGUGAAUGAAGCUGUUCAAACAGUCCACAGUCAAGGUCAGUAUUUGGGGUAUCAAAAGGUAAACGUGCGCAUCGCUUGCUGUUAUUUUUGACUGAUAGGCCCUUUGUCUGUAUUGAGUCUGAACCGACUGCCUGGCUGCUGCUGCUGCUGCUGCUGCUGCAUGCCGAUGAGAUCAGCACAGCCGCAGUGUCAGUUUUGCGCCUCAUCACAGUGACAGCUGCAGGAUGGCCAGUAUUAUGUCGACAUCAGUCUCUCUUUCCUACAAGCCAGGCCUCGUCUAUCUACUGAAACACAGGGCUGCUACCAUUCAGAGGGCUGAUAAUGAAAUUUAUGAAUAACAAUACAAAGGGCCAGAUAGUAGUCAGUGGCUGAGUGGACUUUCAUGAUAAUGGGUAUCAAAAUGGCAAGCCUUAGUGGCUUUUGGUAUUCAGUGUAAGUUGUACACUGUCCAAAUGCCAACUAACACUAAAAGUCUGGAACCUGAAUCACAAAACUAAACUGGGAACCUCUGAUUAAUGAUUUAGUGUGGUGGUUACGAAUCUUUCUGGGCUUGUGGCCCCAUGUGACCAGUUGUUGUCUAGCAGUUGUGACACGUUGUCCCCAUUUGGUGAUAGAAUCUAUUUGUGAUCCUUGAGUGUUUUCAAUUCCCUACCAUACAGGUUUGCCCAUUCAGAAAUUUAUCACAAUUUAAAAGACGUAUUUACUGUUUCUUUUACACACAUGAUAUCCCAAAAUCGCUGGUCUGAACCACAACACAGAGGCAGAGAGGCAGUUAACAAGGUGAAAAUUUACCUUGCUGAAUUUAAGCGUAAAGCACAAAGAUUGCUUCUUUGAGGCAAAUCACUGUUCAAGGCGCAGAUGAACUAAAAACCAGCCCUGCCGUCUUGGAAUUUGGGGCGUUUUGGGAGAUGACGCAACAGGAAAGAAAACACAAUCAAAAUUGAAUAAGCUCUGCUGAAAUUAUUCUAAGCAGCAGCAAGAAAAAAGGUUUUCCCAAGGAGUGUGUAACAAACAAGUCCACAUCCUUUGAACUGCUUCCUUUGUGUUGGUAUGCAGUCAGAGGCACUGCAGACUACCUAAUGGACUGGGUACCAUUAAACAGGAUCAAAUAGAUGAUUCAAGUCCAUGAAAGCUAAAAAAAAUUGCUGACAUUUGAAUUGAAAACAAGCUGAAAUUGCAGCGUUUUUCAUAUGAAUUCCUGAAAGUAGCUAAAGGAGAAGAAUGUACAAUAACUCUUAAAUAAUACACAUUUCAUUCAUGAUCAGGAUAAAUCACCACGACUGCAGCACUUUU